UUUAAAUUCGGAGAGUUUGAUCCUGGCUCAGGAUGAACGCUGGCGGCGUGCUUAACACAUGCAA
RNAcentral lists this ribosomal RNA (64 nucleotides) under Actinomycetes bacterium. Its description in RNAcentral is "Actinobacteria bacterium partial 16S ribosomal RNA". It matches the Rfam family "Bacterial small subunit ribosomal RNA", at positions 1 to 60 of the family's 1533-position model. Lineage: Bacteria; Bacillati; Actinomycetota; Actinomycetes. The record is from RNAcentral.